Molecule: ribosomal RNA, 253 nt
Filed under: uncultured bacterium
Lineage: Bacteria
Description: partial 16S ribosomal RNA
Rfam family: Bacterial small subunit ribosomal RNA
Source: RNAcentral
UACGAAGGGGGCUAGCGUUGUUCGGAUUUACUGGGCGUAAAGCGCACGUAGGCGGAUUGUUAAGUCAGGGGUGAAAUCCCAGAGCUCAACUCUGGAACUGCCUUUGAUACUGCCAAUCUCGAGUCCGGAAGAGGUGAGUGGAACUCCUAGUGUAGAGGUGGAAUUCGUAGAUAUUAGGAAGAACACCAGUGGCGAAGGCGGCUCACUGGUCCGGUACUGACGCUGAAGUGCGAAAGCGUGGGGAGCAAACAGG